Molecule: non-coding RNA, 1472 nt
Organism: Thamnophis sirtalis
Lineage: Eukaryota; Metazoa; Chordata; Lepidosauria; Squamata; Natricidae
Source: RefSeq, a predicted model, not a curated record
AUCCCCUGUUGAAAUUAGAUAAUUCAAUGGAGGCUGAGGAAAUAUCUUCUAAUGUCUGGGAUAAUUAUCUUCUCUGCAUCUCUGAAAAUAAAGAAAAUUUAAACCAUAAGAAUGACAACAUUGUUUUAGGCGUAGUGUUUACAAGAUGACAGAAUACGAAUUGAAAGAAUGAAAAAUGAACAUUUUGAGUAUGGAAGUGCUUUUAAGAUGAUUACAGAUUUCUAUAGCAGUCAAAUACUUGAUGGCACAGGUUCUCAAGCAUUGUCCCAGAUUUUAAAGUUCGAUAAAUCGGUGUUGUGCUCCUUGGCUGCUGUAAUCUUGUACCUUAAAGAAUUUAAUUUAGAGAAGAUACUCUAUAACCCCAGGUAAAUAGUUUUAAUUUUAGAUACUAAAACCGUUGUUACAUUGAUUUACAUACUACAGGAAAUAUUGUUUCACAAAAUAAGUGCACUAUAAUUGUGAUAUCCAAGUUAUCAUGAAAACUAUAUUAGAGAAGUAGAAAAAAUUUAAAGCUAUGUUUCCAGCUAAUGGUAUCAGCAAUUCAAUUUAGUUCUACACAAUGUAUACCUAUAUACCUAUAUCAAUAUCUUCUUCAGUGCAAUCUGUAAAUUAUUGUUACAGAUUCAUGACAACAAUGUUACUAACAAAUCAUUUCUGAAAACGCAGCCUAGAAAACUGCUUGAACUUGACUGUUUAGUUGGCAGUAGUCAAGAAUGACUCAAAGGCACUCAUAUGCCCAAUUUAAAAUCUUCAUUCUCAAUCCAAUAGUAUGUCAGAAAAAAGCAACGAUAAAAAGCAUAUUAAGAAGUAGCAACAACAAAAGCAACAUUAUAAUAGAGGAAUAAAAGUAUCACUAAAUUGAUACCUUAAAAAUAAUAUUACUAAGUAGGUGAUAGGAUAAAUGUUCAGCCAAUCUGCUGAAGUGAAAUAAAAGCACAAGAUAUUUUACUGUGCAGAUUGUAAUAAACAGUUUGGUAGGAAAACAAAAGAUCUACAGACUUAAAUAAGUUUUGAAAAAUAGCCAGAUGAAUCUGUUGCUUCUAAUGGUACAGAAUUCAAGUGACAUAUGUGCUGGCAAUACCUUAAAUUCAUCUUUCUUUUGUUGUUUCUUCUUAAGGCAGCUAUGAAAAAGACUUAAUUUCUUCUAAUUAUUUCAGAUUUUCAAAUUUAGCUGAAUGAAAGCUCCUGAUUUAGACAAUUUUCCAAAGUCCCAAGAACAGGAAAAACUAUUGAUUAUUAAAGGACUUCCUGUUAAUAUACCUUUGGUGAACCAGACAUUUCUAAGUUCUGGAAGAAUCUUAAGACGUCCUCAGGGCAGUCUUCUUCCUUUACUCUUCAGUUGUAAGUUUACUAGCUUUGCCUUUUAAUUCUUGAUUUCUGAUUUUAGAUUCACACCGUCUUUGGCCUAGCAUGAAGAAAAUUGAUUAGAAAUCAGUUGUCUUCAAUCCCAUAUGAAAUAAAUUAGCUCAGUU